AGUGAACGCUGGCGGCGUGCCUAAUACAUGCAAGUCGAACGGAGAUUAAGUAGCUUGCUAUUUAAUCUUAGUGGCGCACGGGUGAGUAAUAUAUAGCUAACUUGCCCAUUACUAAGGGACAACAGUUGGAAACGACUGCUAAUACCUUAUACUCCGUAUCUAUAUAAGAAGAUACGGGAAAGUUUUUCGGUAAUGGAUAGGGCUAUAUCGUAUCAGCUAGUUGGUAAGGUAAUGGCUUACCAAGGCUAUGACGCGUAACUGGUCGGAGAGGAUGAUCAGUCACACUGGAACUUAGCCACGGUCCAGACUCCUACGGGAGGCAGCAGUAGGGAAUAUUGCUCAAUGGGGGAAACCCUGAAGCAGCAACGCCGCGUGGAGGAUGACACUUUUCGGAGCGUAAACUCCUUUUCUUGGGAAAGAAUUAUGACGGUACCCAAGGAAUAAGCACCGGCUAACUCCGUG
This 462-nucleotide ribosomal RNA is filed under the name uncultured bacterium. RNAcentral's name for it is "partial 16S ribosomal RNA". It matches the Rfam family "Bacterial small subunit ribosomal RNA", at positions 29 to 507 of the family's 1533-position model. The record is from RNAcentral.